GUGUCACAACCUCCCCCCUCCAAUCGGUGUAGUGGGGUAUUCAGUUAUUUCACUACUCCUUUGGUCGUUUACUGUGAGAAAAUUAGAGUGUUCAAAGCGGGCGUUUGUUUGAAUAGAUUAGCAUGGAAUAAUGAUUGAAGGCUUUCGUGUUCGAUUUGAUUGGUUUGUUCAUGGAAGCAAGGUUAAAAGGAACAGUUGGGGGUAUUCAUAUUCACUAGUUAGAGGUGAAAUUCUCGGAUUUUAUUUAAGAA
RNAcentral lists this ribosomal RNA (251 nucleotides) under Blastocystis sp. Its description in RNAcentral is "partial small subunit ribosomal RNA". It matches the Rfam family "Eukaryotic small subunit ribosomal RNA", at positions 687 to 936 of the family's 1831-position model. Lineage: Eukaryota; Bigyra; Opalinata; Blastocystidae. The record is from RNAcentral.